AGUGGCUUAGAUGACUCACAAACCAGGCAAGCAGGGGCAAACUGAGCUGCCUUGAAGAAGCUCAGAUCAACUGAGGAACCUAGAAAGGACAAGUUCCAAACUGUUAAGCUGCCUGUAGGCUGUGCAGUGUGUUUCAAGUUCUCAGCGAGCUUCGGUGAUACAGCUGACUUUGAGUCAUCUUUCUUUCUGCUCCUGUACGUGACCCUUCACCCACAUUUAUACCCAGCUGAGAGUCUGUCAAGGGGAGACCCAAAGCCAGAGAAGCUUCUCUUUUUCUUGGUCUCAAAUACGUCAUUCUCUAAGGACACCAGAUCAUCAAGACGCAGGAGCUUAGCCGAAAGCUCAGUGGCUGACUUCUCUUCUCUGGCUGUGGGUGGAGACUGCAAGCUUGCUGUUCCAAACUCCUACAGGGAAGAUAAAGCUCAUCACUGAUUCCAUUAAGUUUGUUGCCUGGACGUUUGAUGUGAUCAUCUUAAAAUACAGCAUAGUAAAGGAAGAGGAAUUGCCCAUUGAAGUGAUGGAAGACCACAGGCUUAAUCUUCUUAUAAAAUGAUUUCUUAGAACACUUUCUAGGACAAACAGAAAAAGACUUUGGAAUUUGAAGAAUUGGUUUUGAGUCUCAUUUUGCUUUAGUGUUGCUAUCAUCUUGGACAUGGUUUAUUUAACUCACCUGAGCUUUAAUUUUCUAAUUUAUGAAGUGAGAAAUAAUUUUUAUUUCAAAAAAUUCAAUAGGAUGGAAUUGAUUGACCUAUAAGGCCUUUCUCUUAUAUGUUCUCUAUUAUUUGCACAUGAAGCAACAUCUAUAUGCCAUUAUGCAACAUUGCUUUAGUAACUAUGUAUGUGUUACUAUGUCCCCUGACUUUAUACUUCCUUAUUAUUGCUGUGAAAUCUGACAGUAGAUCUUAGUAAUUUGUCAUAUGCACUGACAUGAAUAAUUAUUUUAUAGACAGAAUAACAUCUUCAUAAUGUCUUGCUUAAGAUUUAAAACAAAGAAAAAGAUCUUCGCCAUGUCUACAAUGUUUGUUUUAUCAAAUCCAAUAAUAUUAGCUUAAACUACUUGUUUGUUAUGACAUUAAUUAUUCUCCUUUGGAAACUUGAGGCUAAUGCCAGUCAUUAACAUCUUGUCUGUAUCCUACCAUUUCAGGAAAGGGAAAGCAAAGUGUGUGUUUUCUGUUUGGCAAGAUGGUAUUUAGUUGAUAUAUUCAUAGAGUGUAGGAAAAUGAUAAAUGAAAUUAUAUCUCCAAAUAUAGAAAACAAAAACCUUCAGAGAGCAUAGCAUUAAUCGUUUGAUUAAAAUACCAUUUAAUUAAAAUAUCAACAAAAAGCAUUAGCUUUUCCUCCAGGAAACUUGUCACUUCUUUGUUUAUACUUUUCUCCAGAUUUUGCUUGUUUCUUUUAUUUUCAUGUGUACAAAGAAAGAUACCUAAAAAGUAUAGCUGCAUUUUAAAAAUGAUCCCAGAUUUCUUAUAUCCCUACAUUGAGAAGUAACACUCCCAUUUAAUCAAAGGGAAAUUCCAAUCCUCCUGUUUACCUUCUUUAGUUUUUAUUUCUCUAAAAAUAGUUUUUAAAGUGCCAAAGUGAUCUGUUUUACAAGUCUUCCCAUGUGGAUUUUCUUUACCUAUUUUUAUGAACAUCUUACCAACCAACGUUUCUUUCAAGCCCACAGGCUUUUAAAUGGAACAGAAUAAUUGUGUUUUCAAUACUGAUGAUUACGUCUAACAGGAGUAUUUCAGACCUUGGGCGUAUAUACAAAAACAGUUUUAAUAUAUCCUCUAACAGAUAGCCACAUCCUGAUCAUUUUGGAUAGGAAGGUGUAAAAAUAAACGCCGAGUUUAAAUACAUGUAUUUAAUGUUUUAAAGCCAUGCUUGUAUCCAGUAAACCAACAGACUGAGCUCCUAAAUAUGGCUUUGCACACUAACAUAAAUAAGCACUCUGGCACCUGCUGAACAAGCGACAUUUGAUUAACUCAUUCAAACUUGAUUGCUACGAAAUUAGAAACAGAGGAAAUUAUAGGGAGGGAAGAAAAUGACCAGGUUUAGCCACAUUUUUCUAUUUUGUUGAUAGUGAAUAAAUAUAGCCCAUGAUUUAAAGGUUUCUUAGGACCAAUGUGCUCUCCAAAUCACAGAAGAAACUCUCAAUGAAUAUUUUUUGUACAAAUUCACCAAAGGAGAAGUAAAGUACAAAUU
Molecule: long non-coding RNA, 2187 nt
Organism: Mus musculus (house mouse)
Lineage: Eukaryota; Metazoa; Chordata; Mammalia; Rodentia; Muridae
Product: predicted gene, 32312
Exons: 3
Source: RefSeq, a predicted model, not a curated record